CCCUUAGAUGUUCUGGGCCGCACGCGUGCUACACUGAGUGGAUCAGCGGGUCAGGUUGCGCGAAAGUGUUUCCUAAUCUUUAAAUCCGCUCGUGAUGGGGAUUGACGGUUGCAAUUUUCCGUCAUGAACGAGGAAUACCUUGUAAGCGCGGGUCAUCAUCCCGCGCUGAAUACGUCCCUGCCCUUUGUACACACCGCCCGUCGCUACUACCGAUCGAGCGCCCUAGCGAGGUCGUCCGAUUGUCGCCGAGGCCGGCUUUCGCGAGCUGCGCAUCCGACGAAAAGGCGAUCGAACUCGAGCGCUUAGAGGAAGUAAAAGUCGUAACA
This 326-nucleotide ribosomal RNA is filed under the name uncultured eukaryote. RNAcentral's name for it is "partial 18S ribosomal RNA". It matches the Rfam family "Eukaryotic small subunit ribosomal RNA", at positions 1470 to 1796 of the family's 1831-position model. The record is from RNAcentral.